RNAcentral lists this long non-coding RNA (2704 nucleotides) under Homo sapiens (human). Its description in RNAcentral is "HSALNT0372330". Lineage: Eukaryota; Metazoa; Chordata; Mammalia; Primates; Hominidae. The record is from RNAcentral.
CACAUAGUAUCUGAUUUUAUUUUAUUUCUACUCACUUUUUUCGUACAUACUACAUUGUUAUCUUUUGAGGGUGUGGGUUGUUUUUUUUUUUUCAACUUUUUUUGUUCUGUGGUUGGUACCAAAGUGGUGUUAUUAUUGAUCCCAAAUUUUCUUCUGUUUCACAUUAGGUCAAUGUUAAAACUAGAAACAAGACUGCUGAAUAUUGUUUUCUAAUGUUUAUCUUCCAUAAAUCUAGGUCUUAAAAAACAGAAUAAUGCGAUACUUGGUUUUUAACACAAUGUUUGCUUAUCAGUAUCUAAACAUAUACACACAUGCAAUUAAAACUGUAUAUUCUGUUCGUAUCCAGGCUGGCCAACAUGGUGAAACUCCAUCUCUCCGAAAAAUAAAAAUUAGCCGGAUGUGGUGGCAUAUGCCUAUAAUCCCAGCUACUUGGGAGGCUGAGGCAGGAGAAUCGCUUGAACCCGGGAGGCAGAGGUUGCAGUGAGCCAAGAUUGCACCACUGCACUCCAGCUUGUGCAACAGAGCAAGACUCUGUCUAAAACAAAACAAAACUGUAUUCUAAGCUUAUUUGGGGAAAAUGGACCAAUUUUCAAACUAAUUGAGGAAAUUCAGGAGCAUAACGAGUUGGUGGCAAUAUCAUUUAUAUCAAUAUAGUCAUUUAUAUCACUAUAUAUGUAUUAUAUCAACAUAGUGAUUCCAACCCAAACCACUAUAUUCAUUUUCACUUCAGCAACAUAGAAAUAGCCAUUGAUCAUUUCAAUCAGAAAAGAUCCUGCUAAAUGUGUCCCCUGACUUUGUGAAGAUGUGGUGACGUGGCCGUUUCAUCCAAGUGUUCUGGUCCAGCCCAGAGGUAGGUGGAGUUAGAUUUCUGGAGCCUCGUGGAGGCGUUCUGUGGCUACACAGUGACCCCUACUGCUCAUUACGGGAGUGAAGAAAGCCUAGAGCGAAAUCAGGAAAACAACGUGCUGAUUCCUGAGCCUCAGAAAACUGAGAAGUAGGCAGGGCUAUACCAUUUUCUCUGCACUUUAUGAGCAUAAUAAUUCUUCAAAGGACUGGCUGCAUCUACAAAUACCUACUAAAUGGAAACCGUCAAAUCAAAUGGGAGGCUCACAGCAGAUGCCAACUCCACCGAGCGGAUCUGGGCCAGGGUGAAGAAACGGAACUGCAGAGAGGUUAAGCCACCUGGGGCAGGAACUAGGAUGGAAAUCCAGGCAGUCUUGUUGCUGAGACCAUCUCCAUAAUCCUCUGCUAAACUUCUUCCUACCGAGAAAGACAUGUUCUGGGAGAGCAAGGGCUAAGAGGCUGCUCCUUGAUUCCCCCUGAGUGCCCGCCCUCCAGCCCUCACUCCAGUGAGGGGCCUGACCUGAAACAGCUGUCUGCCCUUGCCAGGCUCAGAGAGUCUCACACUGUCACCAGGCUGGCGUGUAGUGGCGCAAUCUCGGCUCACUGCAACUUCCACCUCCCGGAUUCAAGCAAUUCUUCUGCCUCAGCCUCCUGAGUAGCUGGGACUACAGAACAGAAGCUAAAGCAGAAAGAAGUUUAAUGGAGACCUGGAAGCCUCUCCGUAAAGACUCUGGGGCAGGAAUGGGAUCUGUUUGCAGGGCUCAGGGAGGACCCACGGCUCCUGUGGAGGCUUACGCGGCACCUGAGAAGUGAUCAGUCAGGAAGAGCUACCUGGAGUACCUGAGCCCAACCAGAUAUUCUUUUCCCCGCCGUCUUCCCCGGGAUCCAGCAAUUUAUAUUCCCUACCUCAGGAAAUCUUGGAAAAGUUAUUCCAGCAGAAUGAAGCAAUGUACUAUUCCAGCAGAACAUAGUCAGGACCUGGUGACGUGGGGGUUUGGCAAUGAUCAAUGACCCUGGUGUCAUACUCUAAAUUUGUUUCAAAAGUGGCAGCAGGGGAGAAGGAGGCAGUGAAAUCAAUACUUGAAGUUUGUCUUGAUUGGAUGGGGUGUGUGUUUUCUUUUCCACCCUAGUUGUUGUUGAAGCUGUUUACCAAAAGGCUGUGCAAAUAGGAUUAGUCAGCUCCAGGGCCAUUAAUAACCCGCUGGACAGAGCUGGCUCCAUUCCAAUUGAUUUUUGAAUUUUUGAAGCUGUCCAUUUUUUUGGAGCAGAGAUGAAAGCCCCAGAGGGGCUGGUAUGAAAGCAUGAGAUUUUUGCCUGUACUGGGGCUGAUCCCACAGAUGCAGGAGAUGAAACGUUCUUCCAGUGCCAUUUGCUUUCCAUCUGAAUGAGGCAGGUCCUGCGGCAGCUCUGAAGAGGCAGGGGCCAUCACAAACGAAUAUUGCAGCAGGUCAAGGGGACACUGCUAUUGUGUGCACACUGAUGGAGACCCAGAGUAAAACGUGGCCUGAGGUUUGCCAGAAUGUGCUUAAGAAGCAAACCUCACAUACCUGAAACUCUCUUCGUGCCCUCCUGUCCUUCCAAAAACUAUCAGUUCGAAUAUCCUGAGAAAUGUCACAUAGGUAAGCUGUAGGACCAUCCUUGAGAGGUUGCUGUUGGUAAAAACCAAUGGGGCCAGAAAACAUGAAUUUAUAUCCCAGCACUCUGGGCUAUAACUUUGAGCAAAUUAAUCUCUCUGAUAUUCUAUUAUAGCAAUUGUGAAUUGACAAUGUCAUCAUAGCCCAUUUCUUAUUUCUGAAAAAGUGCUUUUUCUGGAUCUCAUUCACUUAAGAACUCAAAUUCUAAACAUGGAGACCAUCAGAGC